AGCAGCCGCGGUAAUUCCAGCUCCAAUAGCGUAUAUUAAAGUUGUUGCAGUUAAAAGCUCGUAGUUGAAUUUCGGGAUUGACACAUCGGUCGUGCCUUAAGGGGUGUGAACUGGUGUAGUCAAUUUCUCACCUUCUGGAGAACCGCGAUGUCCUUAAUUGGGUGCCGCGAGGAACCAGGACCUUUACUUUGAAAAAAUUAGAGUGUUUAAAGCAGGCAUUUUUGCUUGAAUACAUUAGCAUGGAAUAAUAAAAUAGGACGGCAUGAUUCUAUUUUGUUGGUUUCUAGGAUCACCGUAAUGAUUAAUAGGGAUAGUUGGGGGCAUUAGUAUUCAAUUGUCAGAGGUGAAAUUCUUGGAUUUAUUGAAGACUAACUACUGCGAAAGCAUUUGCCAAGGAUGUUUUCAUUAAUCAAGAACGAAAGUUAGGGGAUCGAAGACGAUCAGAUACCGUCGUAGUCUUAACCAUAAACUAUGCCGACUAGGAAUCAGACGAUGUAAUUUUUUAAUGACUCGUUUGGCA
RNAcentral lists this ribosomal RNA (520 nucleotides) under uncultured Entrophospora. Its description in RNAcentral is "SSU rRNA". It matches the Rfam family "Eukaryotic small subunit ribosomal RNA", at positions 569 to 1085 of the family's 1831-position model. The record is from RNAcentral. Lineage: Eukaryota; Fungi; Glomeromycota; Glomeromycetes; Entrophosporales; Entrophosporaceae.